This is a long non-coding RNA of Brienomyrus brachyistius, 276 nucleotides long. RefSeq lists it as uncharacterized. The transcript has 3 exons. The record is from RefSeq and is a predicted model, not a curated record. Lineage: Eukaryota; Metazoa; Chordata; Actinopteri; Osteoglossiformes; Mormyridae.
UCUGGAUCUCUCCGCGAUGUUUCGGUUUUCAACUGCACAAGACAUCUUUCGAGCCAGUGCUGUUAGACACAAUGAAGCAAUGUGUUCAUUGGCAAUUUUUCCAUCUCAAGAAGUCACAAAAGAGGGAGAAGCACAGAAACUCAAAGCCUUCCUGUCAGGAUGUUCAGAGAAAAAGAUCAAUGCUCAAGUGUCGUCCAAAAUAUAAAAUGGAUGUUCAACUGAUAAUGGCUACCAAGGUUAAACUACUAAAAUCAUAAAGACUGAUAUCUGAAACCA